AUGCCUAGCUCUUAUGAUGCUUAUUCUAGAGGCCAUCCUUAUGUUGCUCCUACAUGCCAUAUUUGUGGAUUUCAGGGCCAUUCACCCGCUGAAUGUCAGCGUGGUUACUCUCAUCCUCCGGAUUGUUUUGGUAUGAACUUUGCUCAACAGCAUGGCUCAUGCCAAAACAAUUACUCAUAUGGGUGGCCUGGAAACCAUAAUAUGUCAUAUAGGAACAGCAACCCUGAGAUCUCAUCGUUUGCCUCUAGUUAUCCAAUGCAGGGAUUUAGGUAUGAAGAGGAGAGCCACAACUAUGCUCCACAACAGUCUUAUUCAGCUCCUAUUCAUAUACCUCAGCACCAGGAGAUGUUGCCAAUGGAGUUAAAUGGUCCUCCAUUUGGUUAA
Molecule: ribosomal RNA, 384 nt
Filed under: Triticum aestivum (bread wheat)
Lineage: Eukaryota; Viridiplantae; Streptophyta; Magnoliopsida; Poales; Poaceae
Description: partial small subunit ribosomal RNA
Source: RNAcentral